RNAcentral lists this ribosomal RNA (473 nucleotides) under uncultured bacterium. RNAcentral describes it as "partial 16S ribosomal RNA". It matches the Rfam family "Bacterial small subunit ribosomal RNA", at positions 28 to 507 of the family's 1533-position model. The record is from RNAcentral.
GAUAAACGCUGGCGGCGCACAUAAGACAUGCAAGUUGAACGGACUUAAUCGAAAUAUUUAUAUUUUGAAGCGGUUAGUGGCGGACUGGUGAGUAACGCGUAAGGAACCUGCCUAUUAGAGGGGAAUAACAGUGAGAAAUCAUUGCUAAUACCGCAUAUGCCAUAGAUAUCACAUGAUAACAGUGGGAAAGGAGCAAUCCGCUAAUAGAUGGCCUUGCGUCUGAUUAGAUAGUUGGUGGGGUAACGGCCUACCAAGUCGACGAUCAGUAGCCGGACUGAGAGGUUGAACGGCCACAUUGGGACUGAGAUACGGCCCAGACUCCUACGGGAGACAGCAGUCGGGAAUAUUGCGCAAUGGAGGAAACUCUGACGCAGUGACGCCGCGUAUAGGAAGAAGGUUUUCGGAUUGUAAACUAUUGUCGUUAGGGAAGAGAAAGGACAGUACCUAAGGAGGAAGCUCCGGCUAACUACGUG